This 445-nucleotide ribosomal RNA is filed under the name uncultured bacterium. RNAcentral describes it as "partial 16S ribosomal RNA". It matches the Rfam family "Bacterial small subunit ribosomal RNA", at positions 354 to 796 of the family's 1533-position model. The record is from RNAcentral.
GUGAGGAAUAUUGGACAAUGGGCGUAAGCCUGAUCCAGCCAUGCCGCGUGCAGGAAGACGCAUCUAUGGUGUGUAAACUGCUUUUGUACGGGAAGAAACACUCCCUCGUGAGGGAGCUUGACGGUACCGUAAGAAUAAGGAUCGGCUAACUCCGUGCCAGCAGCCGCGGUAAUACGGAGGAUCCAAGCGUUAUCCGGAAUCAUUGGGUUUAAAGGGUCCGUAGGCGGUUUAAUAAGUCAGUGGUGAAAGCCCAUCGCUCAACGAUGGAACGGCCAUUGAUACUGUUAGACUUGAAUUACAAGGAAGUAACUAGAAUAUGUAGUGUAGCGGUGAAAUGCUUAGAUAUUACAUGGAAUACCAAUUGCGAAGGCAGGUUACUACUUGUGGAUUGACGCUGAUGGACGAAAGCGUGGGGAGCGAACAGGAUUAGAUACCCCUGUAGUCC